CUGGUGCUUUCUACACACUGUGAUCUCUCUCUCCCUCCCCCUCUCUCUCUCCUGGUUCUAAGAGACCUCCGCACUCACAAACAGAGCAACUAUGUGCUAUCGUGUGGUUUGCUUUUUCAGGAUAUUCACCUGCCUCCUCGCCUUCUCACAGAUGCCUGAUGUCACUUUAAUGAGUUCUGCCUUCAGUGACAAGCCUUUACGUGCAAAUACACUUGAUGUUACUCCCCAAAUGCCACAGCAUGGCCUGAAGACUUGCCUCACAGAAUUCAGCACCCAUUGAGGGCAUACAUGUAGAAGAGAAACAGAAUUCCCCAUGUGAUGGGCUGAAAAAUGCCCCCCCCACCAAGAUAUCCACAUCUUAAUCUCUGGAACUUGUAAAUGUUAUCUUAUUUGGGAAAAAUAACUCUUUGCAGACGUUAUUAAGGAUCUUGAGAUGAGGAAAUUAUCCUGGUUUAUCCAGGUGGGCCCUAAAUGCCAUCAGAAAUGUCCUUAUAGGUGAGAGGCAGAGGAAGAGUCGAUAUACCCAGAGGACAAGGCAAUGUGAAGAAGAAGCAGAGAAGGAGUUGAAGAUGCUGGCCUUGAAAAUUGGAGUAAUGCAGCCCCAAGGCAAGGAGUGCAGGCCUCCACCGAAAGUUGGAAGGGACAAGGGACAGAUUCUCCCCAAGAGCCUCUGGGGGGAGUGCAGCCCUGUCAACACCCUGAUGUUGAUCCAGUGAAACUAACUGCCAAAUUCUGGCCUCCAGAACUGUGAGAGAAUCCAUUUCUGUUGUUUUCAGCCACCAAGUUUGUGGUAAUUUGUUAUAGGAGCCACAGGAAAGGAACAGACCAAACCACUAAAAAGUCAAGCUGUUCCCUGAUGACAAGUAACCAAUGGGAGGCAUUUGGCAGAGCACAUUGGAAGAAAGAAAAACCACAUGACCAUUUUGGUUGUUAAAGACCCUGACGUCCCAAGUAUAAAUGAGCAAUUUUAGACAGAGGUUGAAAAAGGGUUGUGCAUCUGGUAAGAAAAGCACUGGUAAAUAGAUGCCUCCAUCUCAGCACAGACUCCUAUGGAAUGAGAACAGCAUGAGACACUCAGAAGAGGAUCAGCCAAGCCUGGGCAAUGUGAGAAAAGGGAAAUCCAGAUUAUACCAGAACAGACACGAGCCCUUGAGGCAUACUUCGCAAAGCUUUAUUCUACUUUCAUCAUAAGAAAGAAUUUGAAGGGGACUUCUGCCAUGUGAGGACACAGUAAGAAGAUGGCCAUGUAUGAACCAGGAAGCAGGCUCUCAUGAGACACAGAAUCUACCAGGACCUUAAUCUUGGACUUCCCACACUCGAGAACCGUGAGAAAUAAAUGUGUGCUGCUUAGAAGCCAC
RNAcentral lists this long non-coding RNA (1358 nucleotides) under Equus caballus (horse). RNAcentral describes it as "lncRNA (ENSECAG00000052641.1)". Lineage: Eukaryota; Metazoa; Chordata; Mammalia; Perissodactyla; Equidae. The record is from RNAcentral.